RNAcentral lists this ribosomal RNA (255 nucleotides) under uncultured Pseudomonas sp. RNAcentral's name for it is "partial 16S ribosomal RNA". It matches the Rfam family "Bacterial small subunit ribosomal RNA", at positions 1129 to 1382 of the family's 1533-position model. The record is from RNAcentral. Lineage: Bacteria; Pseudomonadati; Pseudomonadota; Gammaproteobacteria; Pseudomonadales; Pseudomonadaceae.
GGUGGGCGACUCUAAGGAGACUGCCGGUGACAAACCGGAGGAAGGUGGGGAGUGACGUCAAGUCAUCAUGGCCCUUACGGCCUGGGCUACACACGUGCUACAAUGGUCGGUACAAAGGGUUGCCAAGCCGCGAGGUGGAGCUAAUCCCAUAAAACCGAUCGUAGUCCGGAUCGCAGUCUGCAACUCGACUGCGUGAAGUCGGAAUCGCUAGUAAUCGUGAAUCAGAAUGUCACGGUGAAUACGUUCCCGGGCCUU